AAUGAACGCUGGCGGCGCGCCUAAUACAUGCAAGUCGAGCGAGAAGACGUAGCAAUACGUUUGUAAAGCGGCGAACGGGUGAGGAAUACAUGGGUAACCUACCCUAGAGUGGGGAAUAACUAGCCGAAAGGUUAGCUAAUACCGCGUACGCUCCUUGGACUUCGGUUCAGGGAGGAAAGCGAUGCCGAGGGUAUCGCGCUCUUGGAUGGGCUCAUGUCCUAUCAGCUUGUUGGNGAGGUAACGGCUCACCAAGGCUUCGACGGGUAGCUGGUCUGAGAGGACGAUCAGCCACACUGGCACUGCGACACGGGCCAGACUCCUACGGGAGGCAGCAGUAAGGAAUAUUGCGCAAUGGGCGAAAGCCUGACGCAGCGACGCCGCGUGAGGGAUGACGGCCUGGUCGU
RNAcentral lists this ribosomal RNA (404 nucleotides) under uncultured bacterium. RNAcentral's name for it is "bacterial SSU rRNA". It matches the Rfam family "Bacterial small subunit ribosomal RNA", at positions 29 to 426 of the family's 1533-position model. The record is from RNAcentral.